GGAGUUUUUACUGCUUUAAGCUGUUUGGGAGAGAUCCCAAUUUUGGCGAAAGCCUCCUGCGAGAGUAUAUUUGUUGCACUCCCAUUAUCAACCAGAAUCCUCUUUACUUCGAAGUUAGCCACAACCGCAGAGAUGACUAAGGCAUCGUCAUGAGGAUAUGAUAUUCCUUCCAAAUCUCUUGCUCCAAAAGUGAUGUCUUUCACUUCAUCACGGGAUUCUCUUGGGGUAUGAGCAUGUUGGCGGGCAUACUGCAUUCGCCCACUACUUGUGUCUCCGCUGGAUGCUAUGCCCCCAACGAUAAUAUUAAUAGUUCUGGUAGUGGGUUGAGCACUGCUUCCGACCCCAGGCUCUUUUCGAUUGUCACG
RNAcentral lists this long non-coding RNA (365 nucleotides) under Olea europaea subsp. europaea. Lineage: Eukaryota; Viridiplantae; Streptophyta; Magnoliopsida; Lamiales; Oleaceae. The record is from RNAcentral.